This 517-nucleotide ribosomal RNA is filed under the name uncultured Staphylococcus sp. RNAcentral describes it as "partial 16S ribosomal RNA". The record is from RNAcentral. Lineage: Bacteria; Bacillati; Bacillota; Bacilli; Caryophanales; Staphylococcaceae.
CACGUAGUUAGCCGUGGCUUUCUGGUUAGGUACCGUCAAGACUUGUUCAGUUACUAACAAAUUUGUUCUUCCCUAACAACAGAGUUUUACGAUCCGAAAACCUUCAUCACUCACGCGGCGUUGCUCCGUCAGGCUUUCGCCCAUUGCGGAAGAUUCCCUACUGCUGCCUCCCGUAGGAGUCUGGACCGUGUCUCAGUUCCAGUGUGGCCGAUCACCCUCUCAGGUCGGCUACGUAUCGUCGCCUUGGUAAGCCAUUACCUUACCAACUAGCUAAUACGGCGCGGGUCCAUCUAUAAGUGACAGCCGAAGCCGCCUUUCACUAUUGAACCAUGCGGUUCAAAAUAUUAUCAGGUAUUAGCCCCGGUUUCCCGGAGUUAUCCCAGUCUUAUAGGUAGGUUACCCACGUGUUACUCACCCGUCCGCCGCUAACAUCAGAGAAGCAAGCUUCUCAUCUGUUCGCUCGACUUGCAUGUAUUAGGCACGCCGCCAGCGUUCAUCCUGAGCCAGGAUCAAACUC